RNA transcript from Fragaria vesca subsp. vesca, 946 nucleotides. RefSeq lists it as uncharacterized. Lineage: Eukaryota; Viridiplantae; Streptophyta; Magnoliopsida; Rosales; Rosaceae. The transcript is spliced from 4 exons. The record is from RefSeq and is a predicted model, not a curated record.
GAUCACAAAUUCACAAUACUGAAACGACGUUGCCUAGUUUGAGAAGAAAUCAUUGGCAUAUAAAAGGAAGAAAUCAUUGGCAUAUAAAAGGAUGAGGUAUAAAAAGGGCCGUGCUUUCACCUCGACUACUCUUGAUCAUCGCUAGGGUUCCGUCUCUGAUCUCACCAUGUCCACCAACUCUAAAUUCAGCGUUUAUAUAGAAUAUGAAACUGAGGAGAUUGCUGAGUAUGCUGUCAGGCUUUUCUCCGGUGUUGUCACUCUCUACAAUCGAACACUCAGGUUUGCGACAAGCCUGCACCUAAUGUUGCUUCUACAGUGAUACCCACAACCAGUUUUUCUAACAAAUGAGGUCUACCCCUGUACCUAUUUACAAUUCAGAAAACUUAUCAGCAACCUGCAGAGUUUCAGCUUAUGCAGAAAAUUAUCCCUCAGUGCCCACUCCCCCUGGUGUAAAUAACCAAUCUAAUGGAUUAAAUUGGAUUGGCAAAAAUUUCAAGUAUAGUCGAAGAGUCAUUGGGGGCAACAUUGGAUACCAUUAGUCGCCCUAGGUCACGCCGCUAUGAUAUGAGUAAUCCAAUUUCCUACCCCUCCUACUAAAUUCAAAUAAUGAAGCACACAGAUACCAGACCUUUCCUGAUAAAUUAUUAAACUGAGGUAUCUUAUGGGUAGGUGGAUGCUGUAUUAAGCUAGUUUGGUCUGUUAGUGUGCCAAUUUAUAGGUGUACCCAGCUAUGUAUAUUUGCUGUACUUGUUGUACUUUCUAUGUUAAGAGUUGGUAAAUUGUAGUUGUAUUGUGUAAGAGUUCAUGCUACCCCUUCAGAAGGUUAGACUUUUGGAACUCUUGCAAGCAAAUUUCUCAUAUGAUAGCUUGUUUAUCUGCAUUGUAAUCUUUUAAUUUAAGUUGAUCUAAUUUACUUCUAUUUUUAGAAUAAUAAAUUUUGGCUGUG